GACGAACGCUGGCGGCGUGCCUAAUACAUGCACGUAGGACGCAGUUGCGAACGGGUGAGUAAUGCGUAGGUAACUGCCUAUUAGAGGGGGAUAACUAUUGGAAACGAUAGCUAAUACCGCAUACUAGUAGAUGGACCUGCGUUGUAUUAGCUAGUAGGUCGGGUAAUGGCCUACCUAGGCGACGAUACAUAGCCGACCUGAGAGGGGGAGCGGCCACACUGGGACAGGGACACGGCCCAGACGCCUACGGGAGGCAGCAGUAGGGAAACUUCGGAAAUGGGGGGAACCCUGACCGAGCAACGCCGGGGGAGUGAAGAAGGUUUUCGGAUCGUAAAGCUCUGUUGUUAAGGAAGCGGUACUUAACCAGAAAGGGACGGCUAACUACGUGCCAGCCGCCGCGGUAAUUC
This 407-nucleotide ribosomal RNA is filed under the name uncultured bacterium. Its description in RNAcentral is "partial 16S ribosomal RNA". It matches the Rfam family "Bacterial small subunit ribosomal RNA", at positions 28 to 526 of the family's 1533-position model. The record is from RNAcentral.